GAAAGAAAACAACAUUUAUUUCAACAUUUUCACUCUUUCAGCUGCACUAAGUAUUCAGCUUCCUGUUUCUGAGUUUUAUUUAAACCUCUGAUGUCCAACAGAGAAAAGGAAGAAGCUGCCAACAGAACCAACUGGUCUGUCUGGUACCAAACCAGGAGAGGCGCUGCUCAGGCAUGACAUUUAAAAUCAAACAUCCAGCGAUAUUUAUGGAAUCAUAGUGGAAGGUGUGACCACAGAACUAAACUUUAACUAGACCGGGUUCACACCUCUGCUCAGGUGAGGCCCUAUGGCGCUACUUCGCUCACGUUAGUCGGUGUUUCUCCUCCAAUGGCGCUUGCCCCUCUCCAUUCUCACAUUGAACGGUUUAGCCAAUGUCGUACCGCCUCAUAAUGGACCGAGCCUAUCAAUGUCCGCGCUCACAAUGGAAAUCGGCCAAUCACCGUGGCGACAUGCGAGCCUAUCAAUGUCCGCGCUCACAAUGGAAAUCGGCCAAUCACCGUGGCGACAUGCGAACCUAUCAAUGUCCGCGCUCACAAUGGAAAUCGGCCAAUCACCGUGAGCCCUCCCUCUCUCAGACGCCCUCACGCCCCCCACCACCACAAACAAAACAAAUUUCGAAUUUUAUUUUUAAAAAUAAAAACCGUUGGAAGAUUCUGAAAGUCAGAUGUCAGUAGCCUAGCUUCGUUGAAGAAGGAUUCGUCAUCACAUCAUUGAUCUCUCGACCUAAACGAUCUUGCUGUGAGUACCCAUUAAUAUUGUUUAUUGUCUGUUGUCGUUCAAACAGAUUUCGUAUUUAUAAUUGUACAUCAGCUAAAAUAAUAUAUUGUGGGUUAAAUAAAAGGGCGACAUAAUGAUGUCAUGUUCUGAGUGCAAGAGUAAGGACACAUUUUAUUUUAUAAUAUAGUAGUAACAUUUUAAGUUAAAAUGUAAAUGCAUACAUAGAUAUCAACCUAUAUAUAGACCAACCUCGAUCGAUCGAUCGAGGGUUAUAGUUUUUUUUUUUUACCUCAUCAUAAUUAGCACAGAAAACUAUGGCUUUGAUUUUACUUUUAAAUGCUUUUAUGUCAUACCCAUUGUUAGUUGUGCACAAAGUGCAUCAUUAGUUUAUGGAAUUUGAUUCUGCUAAUUCCCAAUGUUAUCUUCAGAUGAGCACCAAGCCAAAGAGCCACAAAGGUAUGGGGGAUGGGGAGUGGAUGGCAAGGCUUAAGGCAUUUGCCAGCACUGGGGUUUGGCCUUCCAAUGCAGGGAAUAGACCAGCCCCAAGGCAGAAGAAAUGGCAUGAUAUCUAUCAGAAGAUAGAAAAAUGCCCCAUGCAAGUUCGGGGACAGACCACCCUUUUUGGAGCGUCUGUCACUUGUGACUGUGGCUUUCACACUGUUAAACCUGCACUGCAGCCUCCUUCUGCACCUCCUUCUUUGACCCCACAGUCUGUGGGUUCACAAUCUAAUUCUGGAGAUACAGCAACAGCCACCCGCUGUUUCCUGAGGUCCCCUCCAUCUUUGUCAAGGGCAGUCAGCUGCCUCCACCCAGCCUGCUGCCUCCACCCUGUCUGCUGCCUCCACUCUGUCUGCUCCCUCCACCCAGCCAGCUCCCUCCACCCAGCCAGCUCCCUCCACCCAGCCAGCUCCCUCCACCCUGUCUGCUGCCUCCACCCAGCCUGGCAUUGCUGAGCCUAUGUCAGAGGGUUUAGAUGAGGCCGGUGUACCAGGCCUGGACAAAGUUGACAGCUUGGCUGAGUAUCUGGUGGAGCUAAGGAGCAAAACCUCACUGGUGCUGACCAACCAGGAGGUGAGCUGCAUUGUUGCUCUGUGGCAGAACCUGCUGGAGUUUGAUAAACAGAGAACGGUAUUUGCUGCAAGACAUCAAGAAAGAUUGAACACUGGGAGGUUUCGGUCCCCCAAGAAGAGGCAAGAAUUUACUCCUGGGGUUGAGAGUGUAAAGAGGCAUGCUCUAACCACUCCAGCCCCAUCUGCCCAAUGGCCAGACUGCUGCCGCUUGGUGGAGACCAUCUUUGUCCGACUGUGCAAUAUCCAUCGUAGUCCAAAGAAAAGAGGAGCAGGCACAGUCUCCAGGUGCAGCCCCUGCUCAACCUGGUAGAGAACCUCGAAAAUUGACUCGCAAAGUUUUGCACAACACAUGCAAAAAAUGCGGGCAGUUUAGAAUAGCUGAAACAGGACACAGCCAAUAUAGAGGGCAAAUUUACUGUCCCUCUAAUGAAAGUCUCACUAAAGAGCAGUGGCUGGAACAAAUUAAAAAGAAAAAAUAAACAUUUUCUUUAUUUUAAAUAACUUCACUGUAUAUAAGUUUUAUUUAGUUCAUAGUGUGUUUAUUUUGUUUUGGGUUAAUGAUACAGAUAUUUAUUCUUAUUGUCAUUGUGUACACAAAGUAAUUCAACAAACCAUACAGUAAAAGGAUUUAAGUCCUUCAGCAAACCACAAAUUUCUUGGUUAAGAAAAAGAAAUGGGAGACUUCAAUGGAAAUGUGUUGCAUCCAAAUGCUACAAUGUUUUGGGACUAACUAAAAAUGUUUAAUUCACUGUCUUAAUUGUUGAAUAAAUAUUUGGUUCUUUUAAACCGAUAAGGUCUAUGGUCUUUUGUGAGUAAAUAUUAGCUGCUUCAAAUUCUGAAUUAUUGGUAAUUUAAGCAUACACUAGAAAAAAGAUAUCAUUCACUUCACUCAAAGUACUUUAGGAAAGACACUUGCAAUUUUAGUUUCAGUCACUGUUUUGUGGGAAAAAUGAAAAUAAGCACUGGGUAUGAUUAAGGACAUUAAAAUAUACAUCAAGUAUAUAGUAUACAGUAUAAUUUAACACAUUAAUUUGAAUAUAUCAGAAUAAAAAAGCAAAAUUAAUUAAGCAAUUCAAAGUUUUAAAAAGAAAGCCUUUUAUGACAAGUGUUGGGUUUUAGUUUACAGUACUACACUAUCUGUACAAAAAAGCAUUUAAAAUGUUUUCAAGAUACAAAAAAACAGCCGUUACUUCAUAACACUUAAACAUUAAUUGUGGGAAAUCUUUUCACUAAAACAUAGUAUGGCGACUGGUAGGAUCGAACUCGCGACUCUGGGAUCGGCCUCACUCUUCCCCUUUCUUCUCCCCUCCCUUUCUUCCCCCUUCCUUCCUUUCUUCCCCCCCCCAAGCAGACUAUUGUUCCCCAACUUUAGCUCAGUGGUUAGAGCACUGGUCUUGUAAACCAGGGGUCGCGAGUUCAAAUCUCGCUGGGGCCUGAAUUAUUUUUCUAUUUCCAAUUAUUUACACAUUUUUAAAAACAACAAAUUGUUCACACAAUUGUGAUCUGAUGUGCUACAGCAACUGGGAUCAGUUUCUGAGGUUAAACAUGAUUUAAACACAAAUAAGCCGGAUAAAAUCUGAGGGAAAUAAUCCCACCUGAUGAAUAAUAUUCCAACCGUCUCUUGAUUUUGGACAACAAAUAACACACAUUGCUUUACAUUUUAAAGAAAGAUAAUAUGGCAGAUAUUUCUCACUGACAAUAAAUCAGCCUAAACAUAUCUGUUUAUUCCUAACCUAAGAAUUAUUUCUGUUAGCUGCUCCAAUGAUGUCAGAAGUUUACAUACAUCUUCUGAACGUUUUUUGUUUCUUUCCAGAAAAUUCUCACAACAGUUUGUUGGGGUUUUGGAUCAUUCCUCCUGACAGAACUGUUGGAAAUGGGUCAGGCUGGUAAAACCUAAAUUACUGACUUUGUUACCUCUUAGAUUUUGACCAGCAGGUGAUUUUUUUAAUUACUAAACUCCAAACUUUUCCAAAUUUCCACACUUCUUUUUUAGCUUUAUGGGUAUUUGAAUAGAAAGUAUAAUCUUUAAAAUUGUUUGGGGGGCGUGCCGUGGUGGCGUAGUGGUUAGCGCGACCCGUAUUUGGAGGCCUUGAGUUCUCGACGU
RNA transcript from Xiphophorus maculatus (southern platyfish), 3891 nucleotides. RefSeq lists it as uncharacterized. The transcript has 6 exons. NCBI's taxonomy places the organism in Eukaryota, Metazoa, Chordata, Actinopteri, Cyprinodontiformes, Poeciliidae. The record is from RefSeq and is a predicted model, not a curated record.